RNAcentral lists this long non-coding RNA (1296 nucleotides) under Marmota monax (woodchuck). Lineage: Eukaryota; Metazoa; Chordata; Mammalia; Rodentia; Sciuridae. The record is from RNAcentral.
AAUAAAUAAAUAAAAUAAAGGUAUUGUGUCCAACUACAACUAAAAAAGAAAAAAAGUUAAAAAAAAAGUCAAAAAAAAAAAGAGGGUAUAGCUCAGUGGUAGAGUUCAUGCUUAGCAUACACAAGACUGGGUUAAUCCUACUCUCAAAAGACACAAUAAGGAAUCAAUAUUCCAAUUUGGAGCGAGAGGGAUUUGGGAAAUAAAUCAUAAAGGUUAAAUCAUGGACCCUAGCAUCAAGCUAUCCUAAGUUCAAGUCCUGGUUAUAACAAUUACUAGCUCUGGGACCUUAAACUCUCUGCUAAUCUAAAAAAAGAUAAUUCUGAUGUUAUGGUGGUGAGGCUUUAAGAAUGUGUGCCAAGGGCCUAGGAGUAGAACUCAGUGUUAGAACGCUCACCUAGCCACGUGUAGGGCCCUGGCUUUUAUCCCCAGCAUCACACGCACAAGUGUGCAAAACACUUGCCACAUACGUCAAAGAACACAUAAUCCAACACAUGGUGAAUCUUCAAUAAAUGGUAGGUCCUAUUAGCAGCUGAUGAAUAAUAUGGCUGAUUUUUUCCCCUUUUUACCAACUUGGGAAACAAAGUUUUCUCCAAUUACCAUUCUUCCCUCAGAGGUGGUCAGGCUCCUCAUACUAGGUGUGCCAUCAUUAUGGAAAUGAGGAAGCUGGGGACAGAUGGGGUGGUUGUAUCUCUUUCAUUUAUCUUCCGUCUCUUAGCUAGCUUGCUCCUUAGCUCAGCUUCUCUGGUUCUUCCUGCUGCCUUCCUUCCCUCUGAAGAAGUCUAUCUCCUCUCUCUGGUUUGGAAGACUCAGUCAGGACUUCUGGCUUCCCUGACCCCUACUCUCCCACACAUCUUCUCUUGUUCUCUGCUCUUUAUUUUGCAGACAGCUAGGGAAAAGGCCAGCAUGUGUAAACUAAUUGCAAGAUGUUCCCCGUAGAAUUUCGAGGUGUAGGAGGUUCCCAGUACAUUUGAUUCCCUCCUGUGUUGUUCUGGAUCUGUGGGUGUAUGUGGGGAGGCUGAAGAGUAGAAAUGGCAUUCCUUCAAAGGGUUGAGUCACCUCUGCUCCUGUUCCAGGCAGGAUGGCUCUUGGCCUGUAACAAGAAGAAAAACUUAUGAGGCAGCAGGGUCUCUGCUCAGAAGGAAUCAAUCUACAUUGGGGCAAGAUAUCUCACAACAAUGACCAGCUAGACCAGAAUCAAAUUCCCCUCUUUGAAAGGGGGUGAGAGGUGGAGUCAUGGACAGAGGAAUACGGGAGUGUUUAAGAACCUUAAAUACAACUAAAAAAUGUUAAAAAAAA